CCUACGGGAGGCAGCAGUGGGGAAUUUUGGACAAUGGGGGCAACCCUGAUCCAGCCAUGCCGCGUGAGUGAAGAAGGCCUUCGGGUUGUAAAGCUCUUUCGGUCGGGAAGAAAUCGCAUGGGUUAAUACCCUGUGCGGAUGACGGUACCGGCAUAAGAAGCACCGGCUAACUACGUGCCAGCAGCCGCGGUAAUACGUAGGGUGCGAGCGUUAAUCGGAAUUACUGGGCGUAAAGCGUGCGCAGGCGGUUUUGUAAGACAGGCGUGAAAUUCCCCGGGCUCAACCUGGGAACUGCGUUUGUGACUGCAAGGCUAGAGUACGGCAGAGGGGGGUGGAAUUCCACGUGUAGCAGUGAAAUGCGUAGAGAUGUGGAGGAACACCAAUGGCGAAGGCAGCCCCCUGGGUCGAUACUGACGCUCAUGCACGAAAGCGUGGGUUAGCAAACAGGAUUAGAUACCCUGGUAGUCCACGCCCUAAACGAUGUCAACUAGGUGUUGGGUGGGUAAAACCAUUUAGUACCGGAGCUAACGCGUGAAGUUGACCGCCUGGGGAGUACGGCCGCAAGGUUAAAACUCAAAGGAAUUGACGG
Molecule: ribosomal RNA, 589 nt
Filed under: uncultured bacterium
Lineage: Bacteria
Description: bacterial SSU rRNA
Rfam family: Bacterial small subunit ribosomal RNA
Source: RNAcentral